UCAUUACUGAGGAGCAGAAGGGGACAGGACGAGAUACAACUGUGGCUUUCCCUUUGUGGAUAUACUGGCAACGAACGCAUCUUCAUAUUCCAGACACAUCUCGACUGUGACCCAUUCUCAGAAGUUUUGCUUUUGUGGCUGUGGAACGUUUCGUGCAGUGGCUCCUCGAGCACCCACAGACGAGAUAUCCCUGGAGCAUUUUAGUCGGCAGCAGGGAUGGGUAUCUUCGGAGAGAAGAGAAAUAUUUAGCGGUUCU
RNAcentral lists this long non-coding RNA (256 nucleotides) under Chrysolophus pictus (golden pheasant). Its description in RNAcentral is "lncRNA (ENSCPIG00010014395.1)". Lineage: Eukaryota; Metazoa; Chordata; Aves; Galliformes; Phasianidae. The record is from RNAcentral.